UACGUAGGGGGCAAGCGUUGUCCGGAUUUAUUGGGCGUAAAGCGCUCGCAGGUGGUUCGUUGCGUCGUGCGUGAAAGACCCCGGCUCAACUGGGGGAUGUCGUGCGAUACGGGCGGACUGGAGGCCAGUAGGGGGAUGCGGAAUUCCGGGUGUAGUGGUGGAAUGCGUAGAGAUCCGGAGGAACACCAGCGGCGAAGGCGGCAUCCUGGACUGGUCCUGACGCUGAGGCGCGAAAGCUAGGGGAGCAAACGGGG
This 254-nucleotide ribosomal RNA is filed under the name uncultured bacterium. RNAcentral describes it as "partial 16S ribosomal RNA". It matches the Rfam family "Bacterial small subunit ribosomal RNA", at positions 524 to 777 of the family's 1533-position model. The record is from RNAcentral.